AGAGUUUGAUCAUGGCUCAGGAUGAACGCUAGCUACAGGCUUAACACAUGCAAGUCGAGGGGCAGCAUGGAGGUUGCUUGCAACUUCCGAUGGCGACCGGCGCACGGGUGAGUAACACGUAUCCAACCUUCCCCGCGGUAGGGAACAGCCCGCUGAAAGGCGGAUUAAUGCCCUAUGGUCUCCUUUGCAGGCAUCUAAGGAGGAGUAAAGAUUGAUCGCCGCGGGAUGGGGAUGCGCCCGAUUAGGCAGCAGGCGGGGUGACGGCCCACCUGGCCAUCGAUCGGUAGGGGUUCUGAGAGGAAGGUCCCCCACACUGGUACUGAGACACGGACCAGACUCCUACGGGAGGCAGCAGUGAGGAAUAUUGGUCAAUGGGCGGAAGCCUGAACCAGCCAAGUAGCGUGCAGGAUGACGGCCCUACGGGUUGUAAACUGCUUUUAUGCGGGGAUAAAUUGCGGGACGUGUCCCGCUUUGCAGGUACCGCAUGAAUAAGGACCGGCUAAUUCCGUGCCAGCAGCCGCGGUAAUACGGAAGGUCCGGGCGUUAUCCGGAUUUAUUGGGUUUAAAGGGAGCGCAGGCGGGAGCUUAAGCGUGACGUGAAAUGCCGGGGCCCAACCCCGGGAGUGCGUCGCGAACUGGGUUCCUUGAGUUGCGGCGAUGUGCGCGGAAUUCGUGGUGUAGCGGUGAAAUGCUUAGAUAUCACGAAGAACCCCGAUUGCGAAGGCAGCGCGCAAGCCGUGGACUGACGCUGAGGCUCGAAGGUGCGGGUAUCGAACAGGAUUAGAUACCCUGGUAGUCCGCACGGUAAACGAUGGACGCCCGCUGUUGUGCAUAUAUUGCUCAGCGGCCAAGCGAAAGCGUUAAGCGUCCCACCUGGGGAGUACGCCGGCAACGGUGAAACUCAAAGGAAUUGACGGGGGCCCGCACAAGCGGAGGAACAUGUGGUUUAAUUCGAUGAUACGCGAGGAACCUUACCCGGGCUUGAACUGCAGAUGAAUGCGGUGGAGACACCAAAGUCCUUCGGGACAUCUGUGGAGGUGCUGCAUGGUUGUCGUCAGCUCGUGCCGUGAGGUGUCGGCUUAAGUGCCAUAACGAGCGCAACCCCUGCCGCCAGUUGCCAUCGCGUGAUGGCGGGCACUCUGGCGGGACUGCCACCGCAAGGUGUGAGGAAGGUGGGGAUGACGUCAAAUCAGCACGGCCCUUACGUCCGGGGCUACACACGUGUUACAAUGGCCGGCACAGAGAGUCGGCGUGCCGCAAGGCGCGUCCAAUCAUGAAAUCCGGUCUCAGUUCGGAUUGGGGUCUGCAACCCGACCCCAUGAAGCUGGAUUCGCUAGUAAUCGCGCAUCAGCCAUGGCGCGGUGAAUACGUCCCCGGGCCUUGUACACACCGCCCGUCAAGCCAUGAAAGCCUGGGGCGCCUGAAGUCCGUGACCGCGAGGGUCGGCCUAGGGUGAAACAGGUGAUUGGGGWUAAGUCGUAACAAGGUAACC
RNAcentral lists this ribosomal RNA (1492 nucleotides) under uncultured rumen bacterium. Its description in RNAcentral is "bacterial SSU rRNA". It matches the Rfam family "Bacterial small subunit ribosomal RNA". The record is from RNAcentral.